UGGGGAAUCUUGCGCAAUGGGCGAAAGCCUGACGCAGCGACGCCGCGUGUGGGAUGACGGCCUUCGGGUUGUAAACCACUGUCGGGAGGGACGAAGAUCUGACGGUACCUCCAAAGGAAGCACCGGCUAACCCUGUUCCAGCAGCCGCGGUAAUACAGAGGGUGCGAGCGUUUUCCGGAAUCACUGGGCGUAAAGGGCGCGUAGGCGGCCUGGUAAGUAGGGGGUGAAAUCCUGCGGCUCAACCGCAGGGCUGCCUUCUAAACUGUCAGGCUGGAGCACGGUAGAGGCAGAUGGAAUUCCCGGUGUAGCGGUGGAAUGCGUAGAGAUCGGGAAGAACACCAGUGGCGAAGGCGGUCUGCUGGGCCGUUGCUGACGCUGAGGCGCGACAGCGUGGGGAGCAAAC
This 403-nucleotide ribosomal RNA is filed under the name uncultured bacterium. RNAcentral describes it as "bacterial SSU rRNA". It matches the Rfam family "Bacterial small subunit ribosomal RNA", at positions 355 to 773 of the family's 1533-position model. The record is from RNAcentral.